This is a long non-coding RNA of Apodemus sylvaticus (European woodmouse), 1765 nucleotides long. RefSeq lists it as uncharacterized. NCBI's taxonomy places the organism in Eukaryota, Metazoa, Chordata, Mammalia, Rodentia, Muridae. The transcript is spliced from 2 exons. The record is from RefSeq and is a predicted model, not a curated record.
CACUGCUCUGCACUUCCGCUGCUGCUCCAACUGAGUCCCUCCUCCCCUGCCUCCUUCCCUCCCACCUUCCUUCCCUCCUUCCCUCCCUCCCUCUUGUCUUCCCUCUCCUAACCAUAGCCUGGCCCCGCUUGCCCCAUCUUCAACCCCCAUGCUUUCCACAGGGCUGCGCUGGAGAGAGAGAGAAGAUCGCACCGCUUGGGCUCACUGGAAGCUCUUGCUGUCUGUCUGUCUGUCUGUCUGUCUGUUUGCUCCCGCUGGCUAUCAAGGGUGUGAGGACAGUCUGCCCUCCAUCGCCAUCCUCAGGUGGAGAGAAUAGAAACUGAGAAGCAGAGGAGAACGUGAAGCCGUGAAGCCAGAGCGGAGCGUGGGGAGCACCAAAGAUAACCGCAGGCGACGAGACCGCGUGAUCUGACUGAGGUUUCCAGGAAAGCGCAGGGGAUGAGACGCCGCCGCCGCGGAGAGAGAUGGUAUCUGGUAAGCACACCGGAACACCGACCGGAGGAACUUCUCUUCCAGGCACAGAGGACCGGCACCUCCCUAAAUCACAGGUGCCCACUGAGCUUCUCUUCAGCAAAGGAAGUGAGUGCCUGCCUGCGGCCCUGCUGACGACCACUGCCUGGUCAUUUACUCUACAACCACAAAGGGAAACACAAGGCAUACAAUUUCCUUUGAAAGGCGGUUCUUUCUACUUUAUAUUUUGCUUGUGGAGUUUUUUCCUGUUUUCGGUGGUUUGUUUUGUUUUUUAUUUUAAACACGUCCCACUGGAACUAGGUACGCCAUGCUGGCCUAGAACCUGCAGCAAUUCUGCUUCUGGCUCCCAAGUGUUGAACUAGAGGCAUAUACUUCCACGCCCAGUGGCGAAGGUAACCAAAACUGAAGAACAGAUUAUGUCUCUCAGUGAGCUUCUCUGAAUCCCCUUUAGAUUUUUAAAACAACUUUCUGCCAGUUGUGGAGGCGUACGCUUGUAGUCCCAGCGCUAAAGAGGCAGAGGUAGGUGGAAGUUUAUGAGGUCAGGGCCAGUGUUGUCUAUAUAAAUAAUUCCAGGCAGCCAGGGCUACACACACACACACACACACACACACACACACACGCACGCACGCACGCACGCACGCACACGCGCACACACACACCAAAGAAAGAAAGAAAACAACUUUUCACCUGGAGAUUAUUAGAUUAGUCUUAGUUCCAACAACUGCGCAAGAAUCUGAACAUUGUUGAAACAAAAACACAAUUCUCACAUCAACAAGGAUCAGAGGAAAUUUAUUCUGAAGCCAAAUGUUAAGUGACUAUGGCCCAAGAACAGACUCAGGGUACCCCAAAGUCCAUGUCCAAUGUGGUAACGGGUUGAUUUUAGAUUUCUGGGGCAGUGGGAAGAGACAGAACACAGAAAGAGACCAGAGUCUAACUUAACAGUUACAAAGUUUUUAUUAGUGCACACAGGGAGGGGCAGUGUCUCUCCCCUAGGAAAUGCAGGGCCUGUAGAAUAAAGGUUAGCUCGGUGCAUUGUGGGGGAGGUGGGAGUGUUAGGAAUGAGGAAGUUGUUAGAACUCAGGGGUCUGCUUGAGGUCUCCUUCCUGAAACUGUCCGCCCAAGGCAAGACAGACCAUCCUGAGAGACCGGCUGUCUCAGCCGACAUUCCUUUCUGGACUGACAGAUAAUGGUUGAGCAAGGUCACUGUGGUCUCAUAAGAAUUCCUUUUGUAAAACUGAGGUGCUCUAUCAGAUGCUGUUUCUAUGGUAGUUGAAUAAAUAAAAUCAUAAAUCAA